Molecule: long non-coding RNA, 2069 nt
Organism: Centrocercus urophasianus (Greater sage-grouse)
Lineage: Eukaryota; Metazoa; Chordata; Aves; Galliformes; Phasianidae
Exons: 5
Source: RefSeq, a predicted model, not a curated record
GUUUAUAACGGACCAAAUAAACGUGUAUGUUAUCUUUUAAAAAUAUUUAACUCAAGUGAAGCUCCUGUAUGGCAAGCCUCAAGACCAAGAAGUCUACUGGAAAUUUUUACCCAUAGUUUAAAGAAAUGUUCAGAUGUCCAAAUGCAAGUGAUUUAGAAGUAGUAACUAUUACACUCUUCAAGAUGCUUUAUGUGAUUCUGGUGUUUUAACUCAGUCAGCUGGGAGAUCCAAUCCUUAGAGACCUGAAGGUAACCUGCAUGUAAAACUAACAAAAAUCAUCUUGGUAGGCAUAGGUUGCUUGUGUGAAAUCUGUUCUGAAGCUUCAGUGCAAAGCAAACACAGCACUAAUGAUGGAUGUGAAUGGACAUUUUAAGGAUAACUGGAUAUGGCAUCUUCAGAAACAGUGGCAUUUUGGCCCUAAUUCUGCGUCUGGUCAAAUGGACCUCGAGAGCCCUGGGGCCUGGUUGAGUUAAUGCAACAUGAGUGCCUGGAAGUUUCUACUCUGAAGAACUGACUUUAGGCAAAUUUGUAUUUCAUUUCCAUGUCUACUUGCUUCUAAUUCAUGAUAGUUGUCCUUUAAGGUGGUAUUGUUUUUGAGACUUGGCACAUCUACUUUCGUACCAUUUGUAUUCAGUGUUCCCUGAAUAUUGUCAGACAGUUAAAACAUUUCUGUUGUGUCAUGUACCAAAAACUCCGGAUUGGUGUGAUUAGUGUUGCAUUUUUACAUGUCAUGUCUUCCUACUUAAAAUGGAGGAGAUAAUCACCUGUGUUUUCAGCAGUUGUGGUGUUUCUUUUACCUUAGCUUCUGGAGUUAACUACUGGGACUCUAUUCAGGGCAAUUUAAAGAUGUUGGUAGAUUUGUUUUUUGUUCUUCAGACACAAAAUACAUUUGUUAUUUUGCAAUGUGCUAUUUUCUUAGUAGCCUACUAUUACUACAAGCUUUCAAAAUGAUGAUAAUUCUGUGAUGCAGACCAGUAAAAUAAGCGGGAAAAGGCAGUAACUUUUACUAGCUCUCCUGUUGCUUUUCUAUUUUUGUGGAUGCAGUUACAUGUCAUACUCUACAGCCGAGAGUGAAGACUUGCUUAUUUUUGUGAACUGGAUAACGUCUUUUAACUACGUGGGUUGCUGUUCCUGUCCUAUUCCAUAGGAAUCUUACAGUUUCAUUGUGUACUAAGCUUAGAUAGCCCCAGUAUGGACUGGGAAGGACUUUGCAAAUAGAGUUAGAGGGGAAAAAUGGAUAUGCUCUGUCUCUACCUGUGUUAAUAUUCAUAUCAUAUAGACUUUUUAAUGCAAACAUAUAUCAACGUAGGAAAAUUAGUGGAUGAAAAUAUCCAACACUUUCUCUGUAUAUAGAAAAUCAGGAAUACCUCCUUUUUUUUUUUUUGGUAGGCAUAUUAAAAUUGUUUCUAAGAACUCUGAAGUAUUUAACAACAUUUUGCAUAUUCCCAGAACAAUAGAGAAGCACUGCUGUUUUGCUUUAUAAAGGAGAAAACAACCGUUCAAUCAGCAGUGAAGUCAGGGUUAUCAGUUGAGUCCUGCUGCCCUUUAACCUCAUGCCUCCAGCCCCAUUUCUUUCACAAAAGCCAAAGUUGCCAUUCUAAUCAAUUUCUUUCUAUUUCUGCUACAAGGCCUAAGGUGUUUCAGUUCGGACUCCCAGAAAAUGAGGAACACGGUGUUGGUGGCCGUCUGCCAAGGUGUUUGGUCUGACUUGCUCCUUCUUUGCAGAAGCCUAUGGCAGAGAGAACUGAAUGUUCCUGUGUGGCAUUCAACUGCCUUAACCACACGCCCGCUGCUCUCUUCCUGCAGUUGUCCGUCUUCUUCUCUGCACAACUUGUAGAGCAAACACAUAUAGGAACCUAUAAAUAAUCUAAUUUGAUGCACAACCCUGAUUCAUUUCCUGAGCAGCGUGUGUCCUGCACACACAGGGCAGCCGCGGUCCUGUGGAAAACUUGAACAGAACGGAUGAGGCCAAAUAUUAAAGCUGUUAAGUAUUUAAACUUUGCAAUGAAAUGCUAUUUCAAAUUACAGCUAUAAUGAACCAUGUUAGAAUAUUUUUAAAAAGGAAGGAG